This 274-nucleotide ribosomal RNA is filed under the name uncultured bacterium. RNAcentral's name for it is "partial 16S ribosomal RNA". It matches the Rfam family "Bacterial small subunit ribosomal RNA", at positions 523 to 796 of the family's 1533-position model. The record is from RNAcentral.
AUACGGAGGGUGCAAGCGUUACUCGGAAUCACUGGGCGUAAAGCGCGCGCAGGCGGCUAUUUAAGUUGGAUGUGAAAGCCUACGGCUCAACCGUAGAACUGCAUCCAAAACUAUUUAGCUAGAGUGUGGGAGAGGAAGAUGGAAUUAGUUGUGUAGGGGUAAAAUCCGUAGAGAUAACUAGGAACACCAAAAGCGAAGGCAAUCUUCUGGAACACUACUGACGCUGAGGCGCGAAAGCGUGGGGAGCAAACAGGAUUAGAAACCCUAGUAGUCC